CGUGUGUGUGUAGGAAGAUAAACUCUUUUUUUCUUCUUGGCAGGUGUCCUUGUAGACUUGGGUCUGGAGGAAAAUGGGACAGCUCAUCAGAGAGCAGAGAAAUACGUGGUUCGUCUGGACAAUGAGAUUCAAAGCAAGUUUGAAGUGUUUAUGAGGAGGGUGAAACAGAACCCAUACACACUAUUUGUGCUAGUUCAUGACAACUCCCACGUGGAACUAACGAGGUGAUUGCUUUCGUGUGAGCAAACACAGUAUUUCUUCUAUAGCAGUCAUUGUUACACCAGGAAAUCUUUUAAAGGUGACAGUGUGAAGCCCCAGGGAUCCUAACAUUUAGUGUCUUCCUCCUGCUAACUUAUUCAUAAUCUUUUCUUGCUCCCUCAACUCUUCGUGUGAUUUAGUGUUGAUUUCAUUUUAAAUAUACUGUGAAGGAAUUUAGAAAUUUAUGUUAGAAGUACUGUCGUAAGAAUAUCAUGGGGGCUGGGGCUGGGGCUCAGUGGCAGAGCACUUGCCUAGCAUGUGUGAUGCACUGGGUUCGAUCCUCAGCACUACACAUAAAUAAAUAAAAUAAAGGUCCAUCCAUAACUUUAAAAAAAUUGUUUAAAAAAAGAAUCUUGGAACUCAGUUGCUUCAGAGAGGGCGGGGAGAAGGAGGUCAAGGAAAUAAGCUCCCAGGAGAGAGAUGAGCUUCCUUCUCUAGCUCUUCCCUAAGCUCUUACCCUUUUUCAUUUACUGCUCUUCCAGUGUUUCCUCCUCUUCCUUCUUUUUCUCUCUUCCCUCUUACCUUUAAAAGUAGUGUGGAAAUGCCACUUAAAUGUUCUGAGAGCAGAUCUGAAACCUUCCCAUUUCCCAAUUUAAGAGGAUAUCGUAUUUCUUGAUUGGACGUAUUAAUGAAAGAACAUUAUGUUUGGAAUGAUAGAAGCAGUUUUGCCCCCAGAUCAAAUUGUAAUUAUCUGGUGAGGUAUGCACUAAAAAGGCAAAUCAUUUUUUAAAAAGAGAGGGAAAAAAAGAAAUAAAAAAUAAAUAAAAAUUAAAAGAGAGGGACACACGUAAGGCACUGGGUUCGAUCCCCAGCACCACAUAAAAAAACUAAAUAAACAAAAUAAAGGUAUUGUGUCCAUCUACAACUACAAAUAUUAAAAUAUAUAUAUAUAUAUAUAUAUAUAUAUAUAUAUAUAUAGAGAGAGAGAGAGAGAGAGAGAGAGAGAGAGAGAGACAAAUAGUCAUCGAGUAUGACAUAUCAUGGUUUGCCCUCACCAUGGAAGGACAGGGUGGUUUCAGUCAUCAUUGAACAUUUUAUCAAUCUUCUUUUCUCCAGGAGAAACUGAGGUUAGGAAUCUGGAAGUUCUUUGGUUUAUGGUAAAAAAUGUCAGAAUUAAAAAAAAAAAAAAAAAUCUUGUUCAGAAGCCAGAAUGGGUUUGAUAGGCUGCAAUAUGAAGUCUAGAACCAUGUGUGUGUAUAAAUAAGACCUUACAUUAAUCUGUUAGAUUUAGGAGAAGGAAAAAAGGAAGAGAAGGAGAGGGGAAAGGAGGGAAAAGAAAUUUUACACACAUCUCUUUAGUCAUUGGUAAUGUUCUGUGAGGAGAAAUAGCUCACUAACCUCACACACCUUGUCUUUCAAAGUUUAGGGAAUAUUUUUGAGGACACAACAUUAGAUCUCUCUGUAUUUAACUCCCUGGGUCAUCAAGAUUAUUUCUUUAAUUUAAAAAGUAUGUUUUUUUGCCAGGUACAGUGGCACACACCUGUAAUCUUUAGCUACUCGGGAGGCUAAAGCAGGAGGAUUACAAGUUUGAGGCCAGCUUCUGCAAUUGGGUGAGACCCUGUCUCAAAAUAAAAAAAUAAAAAUAAAAAGGGCUGGAGAUGUAGCUCAGUGGUAAAGUGCAUUAGUCAUUUGGGGAUGUAGGGGACAUUGUGACCAAAAAAAAAAAAAAAACCCUGAGAAAAAAAUAACUAGGAGAAGGAAAGAUUUAUUUUAGCUCAUGGUUUCAGAGAUUUCAGUUGGUGGUUAGCUUGAGGUGAAGGCAGAGCAUCAUGGCAGGAGGGUAAGGCAGAAGAAAGCUGUUCAGCUUGUGGAAGCCAGGAAACAGAGAGAGCGGAAGAAAGGGGACAAGGAUAAGAUAUAAUCCCCAAGGACACACCUCCAGAGACCUGCUUUCUCAACCCAUGCCCCACCUGCCUCCAUUUCCACUACCUCCCAUAGUCCACUUAACUAUCAAUGGAUCAUUCCACUGAUGAUGUCAGAGCCCUCAUGAUCCAAUCACUUCCCAAAAGCUCCACCUCUGAACAUUGCCACAUUGGGGACCAAGCCUUCAAUAAGUGAAAUCUUUGGAGGACAGCACCCUUGGAUUCAAUCCCAGGUAACACAAAAUUUACAUAUACAUAUGCACGUAUCUGAGGAUGCAUGGGAACCUGGUAAAUACAAAUUGAACAGAACUGAAAGAGCUUCAGAGAUACGAGUCUUGGUCACAAGUUGUAAAAGGACAGUUCUCCCCAGAUGGCCUGCCAGUCUGGAAUCCAUGGCAGGAAUAGGAGUGAUUUUGAUACAGAGGAGCUCUGGCUGCAGGGCUCUAAGCAUUGUGUCCUGGUGAAGAGGCUCCCUCAUUCAGGUGAGCUUUCAAAGUCAAGUGCUCUGUCUCAACUACAGCUGUAGCCAUCCCUGGCCUGGAACACUUUGAGGUGUAUCAGGGGCAAACUGAAAAAAAAAAAUCACUAAAAUCUGUGUGCAAAGGGGUAAGAAGUGUAAAAUUUUCCUCUUUCAAAUCACAUUUCAAUUGAAUCUAUUCCCCCCAAUUUAAAAGAACUAGAAAAGUAAGAACUAAAACAUUAUUUCCAUGUUGGUGUCUGCUUCUGUAUUCAGUCAGUUGAAUUAAAAGGUAUUAAUGUGACUUUCCAUUUUUCUACAGCGUCAUUUCGGGCUCUCUAUCCCAUGGCGAACCCAGUCAUGGAUUGGCUGAUAGAGUCAUCAACUGCAGAGAAGUUCUGGAUGCUUUUAACCUCCUGGUGCUCCAGGUCAGCUCCUUCCCAUACACUCUGCAGACCCAGCAGUCCCGGAUCAGCUCCAGCAACGAGGUUCACUGGAUACAGCUGGAUACGGUGGUGAGUUUCCUAUAUACACUCAUAUUCUCACUUUCCCAG
This 3131-nucleotide long non-coding RNA is filed under the name Marmota monax (woodchuck). Lineage: Eukaryota; Metazoa; Chordata; Mammalia; Rodentia; Sciuridae. The record is from RNAcentral.